AGCAGCCGCGGUAAUUCCAGCUCCAAUAGCGUAUAUUAAAGUUGUUGCAGUUAAAAAGCUCGUAGUUGAAUUUCGGGAUCAAUACGUUGGUCGUGCUUCGGUACGUACUGGCGUAAUUGAUUUCUCCCUUCUGACGAACCAUGAUGUCAUUAACUUGGUGUCAUGGGAAAUCAGGACUGUUACUUUGAAAAAAUUAGAGUGUUUAAAGCAGGCUCACGCUUGAAUACAUUAGCAUGGAAUAAUGAAAUAGGACGUUCGAUCCUAUUUUGUUGGUUUUUAGGAUCAACGUAAUGAUUAAUAGGGAUAGUUGGGGGCAUUAGUAUUCAAUUGUCAGAGGUGAAAUUCUUGGAUUUAUUGAAGACUAACUACUGCGAAAGCAUUUGCCAAGGAUGUUUUCAUUAAUCAAGAACGAAAGUUAGGGGAUCGAAGACGAUCAGAUACCGUCGUAGUCUUAACCAUAAACUAUGCCGACUAGGGAUCGGAUGAUGUUAAUUUUUAAUGACUCAUUCGGCGCCUUACG
This 520-nucleotide ribosomal RNA is filed under the name uncultured Glomus. RNAcentral's name for it is "SSU rRNA". It matches the Rfam family "Eukaryotic small subunit ribosomal RNA", at positions 569 to 1092 of the family's 1831-position model. Lineage: Eukaryota; Fungi; Glomeromycota; Glomeromycetes; Glomerales; Glomeraceae. The record is from RNAcentral.